UUCCGGGGAAAGGUAUUGCCUGUCCCACUGAUUAAUAUUUAAAGGGCCGCGGUAUUUUGACCGUGCAAAGGUAGCAUAAUCAUUAGUUUUUUAAUUGAAGACUGGAAUGAAUGGUUGAAUGAGAUAUAUGUUGUGUCAUAAAAUUUAAAUUUAAAAUUUAUAUUUUAGUUAAAAAGCUAAAAUGAUUUUUAAAGACGAGAAGACCCUAUAAAUCUUUAUAUUUAAAUUAAUUUAAUUUAUAUAGAAUAUAAAUUUAUUAAAUUAAAUUUAGUUUAAAUAUUUUAUUGGGGUGAUAUUAAAAUUUAUUUAACUUUUAAAUUAUUUAUUCAAAUUUAUUUGUAAUAAAAUUGAUCCAAUAUUAUUGAUUAAAAAUUUAAGUUACUUUAGGGAUAACAGCGUAAUUUUUUUGGAGAGUUCAAAUCGAUAAAAAAGAUUGCGACCUCGAUGUUGGACUAAGAUUUAAUUUAGGUGCAGAAGCUUAAAUUUAGAGUCUGUUCGACUUUUAUAUCUUACGUGAUCUGAGUCAAAACCGGGAGAAAUAACGCCUGUUUAAUCAAAAACAUGAUUCUGAAUCCAACCCCAAAGACAAACAUACA
RNAcentral lists this ribosomal RNA (596 nucleotides) under Cricotopus sp. O128. RNAcentral's name for it is "partial 16S ribosomal RNA". The stretch from base 389 to 551 matches the Rfam family "Archaeal large subunit ribosomal RNA", at positions 2542 to 2701 of the family's 2987-position model. The record is from RNAcentral. Lineage: Eukaryota; Metazoa; Arthropoda; Insecta; Diptera; Chironomidae.